This 274-nucleotide ribosomal RNA is filed under the name uncultured bacterium. RNAcentral's name for it is "partial 16S ribosomal RNA". It matches the Rfam family "Bacterial small subunit ribosomal RNA", at positions 523 to 796 of the family's 1533-position model. The record is from RNAcentral.
AUACAGAGGGUGCAAGCGUUAAUCGGAUUUACUGGGCGUAAAGCGCGCGUAGGCGGCUAAUUAAGUCAAAUGUGAAAUCCCCGAGCUUAACUUGGGAAUUGCAUUCGAUACUGGUUAGCUAGAGUGUGGGAGAGGAUGGUAGAAUUCCAGGUGUAGCGGUGAAAUGCGUAGAGAUCUGGAGGAAUACCGAUGGCGAAGGCAGCCAUCUGGCCUAACACUGACGCUGAGGUGCGAAAGCAUGGGGAGCAAACAGGAUUAGAAACCCCGGUAGUCC